AGAACGAACGCUGGCGGCAUGCCUAAUACAUGCAAGUCGAACGAAGGCUUCGGCCUUAGUGGCGCACGGGUGCGUAACGCGUGGGAAUCUGCCCCUUGGUUCGGAAUAACAGUUGGAAACGACUGCUAAUACCGGAUGAUGACGAAAGUCCAAAGAUUUAUCGCCAAGGGAUGAGCCCGCGUAGGAUUAGCUAGUUGGUGAGGUAAAGGCUCACCAAGGCGACGAUCCUUAGCUGGUCUGAGAGGAUGAUCAGCCACACUGGGACUGAGACACGGCCCAGACUCCUACGGGAGGCAGCAGUAGGGAAUAUUGGACAAUGGGACGAAAGCCUGAUCCAGCAAUGCCGCGUGAGUGAUGAA
RNAcentral lists this ribosomal RNA (359 nucleotides) under uncultured soil bacterium. RNAcentral's name for it is "bacterial SSU rRNA". It matches the Rfam family "Bacterial small subunit ribosomal RNA", at positions 26 to 412 of the family's 1533-position model. The record is from RNAcentral.